RNAcentral lists this ribosomal RNA (388 nucleotides) under Foraminifera environmental sample. RNAcentral describes it as "SSU rRNA". It matches the Rfam family "Eukaryotic small subunit ribosomal RNA", at positions 1129 to 1399 of the family's 1831-position model. The record is from RNAcentral. Lineage: Eukaryota; Foraminifera.
ACGCACGUGUGAAACUUGAAGGAAUUGACGGAAGGGCACCACAAGAACGCGUGGAGCAUGUGGCUUAAUUUGACCCAACGCGGGAAAUCUUACCGGGUCCGGACACACUGAGGAUUGACAGGCACUAUUAAAAAUAGAGUCACGCAUUUAUUUGUGUGUUCUCUUUUUUAUGUCAAAUAUGCUAGUCCUUUCAUGAUUAUGUGAUAGGUGGUGCAUGGCCGUUCUUAGUUCGUGGAGUGAUCUGUCUGCUUAAUUGCGUUUCACUAAGAGUUCUAAACUUAAUGUGUAUUGCGGCGGUUUCAUUGACCCCUGUCUUUAUUGGCGGUGUUGUUGUCUUUGUUACUUGUUCGCUUACACUUCUGAGCUCUGAAAGCAACGAACGUGACCG